UAUCCUAAAAAAGAGGACACUAUUUAACAAACAUCUCACCAUUCUUUUCUCUAUCAAUUACAAUUCAUUCUCAUGGCUUCUAAAUCAACCUCUCUUAUUUGGGUUGCCCUCAUUCUUUGUGUGUUCGUUUCAUUGACUGCCAUGAAAAUAGUUGAUGCUUCUGAGCUUCAUCAUACAAGGUCGUAUGAAAUGACUUGGAGUAGAAGACUUAUGAGUCGAGGUGAUUUGCCUCGUGGAGGAAAUUACCGCCAUCUAUGAUAAGGAUGUGUUAAGUUGCUAUUGUGAGAAGAAUGAAAUACAAAUUAAGAACUAAAACCUAUGUAUAUUGGAUAAUGAAUAGCUCUGAUUAUUGUAAUCGUGUGGUUUGACUUCCAUAUUUAUAGAAAGAUUAGUUCUACUUUUGUA
This is a long non-coding RNA of Vicia villosa (hairy vetch), 405 nucleotides long. RefSeq lists it as uncharacterized. Lineage: Eukaryota; Viridiplantae; Streptophyta; Magnoliopsida; Fabales; Fabaceae. The transcript is spliced from 2 exons. The record is from RefSeq and is a predicted model, not a curated record.